This 468-nucleotide ribosomal RNA is filed under the name uncultured bacterium. Its description in RNAcentral is "partial 16S ribosomal RNA". It matches the Rfam family "Bacterial small subunit ribosomal RNA", at positions 28 to 507 of the family's 1533-position model. The record is from RNAcentral.
GACGAACGCUGGCGGCGUGCUUAACACAUGCAAGUCGAACGGAAAGGCCCUGCUUUUGUGGGGUGCUCGAGUGGCGAACGGGUGAGUAACACGUGAGUAACCUGCCCUUGACUUUGGGAUAACUUCAGGAAACUGGGGCUAAUACCGGAUAGGAGCUCCUGCUGCAUGGUGGGGGUUGGAAAGUUUCGGCGGUUGGGGAUGGACUCGCGGCUUAUCAGCUUGUUGGUGGGGUAGUGGCUUACCAAGGCUUUGACGGGUAGCCGGCCUGAGAGGGUGACCGGCCACAUUGGGACUGAGAUACGGACCAGACUCCUACGGGAGGCAGCAGUGGGGAAUAGUGCACAAUGGGCGGAAGCCUGAUGCAGCAACGCCGCGUGCGGGAUGACGGCCUUCGGGUUGUAAACCGCUUUCGCCUGUGACGAAGCGUGAGUGACGGUAAUGGGUAAAGAAGCACCGGCUAACUACGUG